UACUCUUGCAGUAUGCUUAACACAUGCAGUCAACUUGAACUUCGGUUUGGGUGGCGGACGGGUGAGUAACGCGUAAAGAACUUGCCUCACAGAUAGGGACAACAUUUGGAAACGAAUGCUAAUACCUGAUAUUAUGAUUAUAUGGCAUCGUAUAAUUAUGAAAGCUAUAUGCGCUGUGAGAGAGCUUUGCGUCCCAUUAGCUAGUUGGAGAGGUAACGGCUCACCAAGGCGAUGAUGGGUAGCCGGCCUGAGAGGGUGAUCGGCCACAAGGGGACUGAGACACGGCCCUUACUCCUACGGGAGGCAGCAGUGGGGAAUAUUGGACAAUGGACCAAGAGUCUGAUCCAGCAAUUCCGUGUGCACGAUGAAGUUUUUCGGAAUGUAAAGUGCUUUCAGUUGGGAAGAAAAAAAUGACGGUACCAACAGAAGAAGUGACGGCUAAAUACGUGCCAGCAGCCGCGGUAAUACGUAUGUCACAAGCGUUAUCCGGAUUUAUUGGGCGUAAAGCGCGUCUAGGUGGUUAUGUAAGUCUGAUGUGAAAAUGCAGGGCUCAACUCUGUAUUGCGUUGGAAACUGUGUAACUAGAGUACUGGAGAGGUAAGCGGAACUACAAGUGUAGAGGUGAAAUUCGUAGAUAUUUGUAGGAAUGCCGAUGGGGAAGCCAGCUUACUGGACAGAUACUGACGCUGAAGCGCGAAAGCGUGGGUAGCAAACAGGAUUAGAUACCCUGGUAGUCCACGCCGUAAACGAUGAUUACUAGGUGUUGGGGGUCGAACCUCAGCGCCCAAGCAAACGCGAUAAGUAAUCCGCCUGGGGAGUACGUACGCAAGUAUG
This 834-nucleotide ribosomal RNA is filed under the name uncultured bacterium. RNAcentral describes it as "bacterial SSU rRNA". It matches the Rfam family "Bacterial small subunit ribosomal RNA", at positions 32 to 896 of the family's 1533-position model. The record is from RNAcentral.